CCUACGGGAGGCUGCAGUAGGGAAUUUUUCACAAUGGGCGAAAGCCUGAUGGAGCAACGCCGCGUGCAGGAUGAAGGCCUUAGGGUUGUAAACUGCUUUUAUAAGCGAGAAAUAUGAUGGUAACUUAUGAAUAAGGAUUGGCUAACUACGUGCCAGCAGCCGCGGUCAUACGUAGGCUCCGAGCAUUAUCCGGAGUGACUGGGUGUAAAGAGUUGCGUAGGUGGCAUAAUAAGUAGCUAGUGAAAUCUGGUGGCUAAACCAUUCAGACUAUUAUCUAAACUGUUAAGCUCGAGACCGUUAGGGGUAACUGGAAUUUCUAGUGUAGGAGUGAAAUCCGUAGAUAUUAGAAGGAACACCAAUAGCGUAGGCAGGUUGCUGGGACGGUUCUGACACUAAGGCACGAAAGCGUAGGGAGCAAACGGGAUUAGAUACCCCAGUAGUC
Molecule: ribosomal RNA, 442 nt
Filed under: uncultured bacterium
Lineage: Bacteria
Description: partial 16S ribosomal RNA
Rfam family: Bacterial small subunit ribosomal RNA
Source: RNAcentral